CCUACGGGAGGCAGCAGUGGGGAAUCUUGCGCAAUGGGCGAAAGCCUGACGCAGCAACGCCGCGUGCGGGAAGAAGGCCCUAGGGUUGUAAACCGCUUUCAGUAGGAACGAAAAUGACGGUACCUGCAGAAGAAGGUGCGGCCAACUACGUGCCAGCAGCCGCGGUGACACGUAGGCACCAAGCGUUGUCCGGAUUUAUUGGGCGUAAAGAGCUCGUAGGCGGUUCAGUAAGUCGGGUGUGAAAACUCUGGGCUUAACCCAGAGCCGCCACUCGAUACUGCUGUGACUUGAGUUCGGUAGGGGAGCAGGGAAUUCCUAGUGUAGCGGUGAAAUGCGCAGAUAUUAGGAGGAACACCGGUGGCGAAGGCGCUGCUCUGGGCCGAUACUGACGCUGAAGAGCGAAAGCGUGGGUAGCAAACAGGAUUAGAUACCCUGGUAGUCCACGCCGUAAACGUUGGGCACUAGGUGUGGGUUCCAACCAACGGAAUCCGCGCCGUCGCUAACGCAUUAAGUGCCCCGCCUGGGGAGUACGGCGGCAACGCUAAAACUCAAAGGAAUUGACGG
Molecule: ribosomal RNA, 564 nt
Filed under: uncultured bacterium
Lineage: Bacteria
Description: bacterial SSU rRNA
Rfam family: Bacterial small subunit ribosomal RNA
Source: RNAcentral